Long non-coding RNA from Sander lucioperca (pikeperch), 411 nucleotides. RefSeq lists it as uncharacterized. The transcript is spliced from 2 exons. The record is from RefSeq and is a predicted model, not a curated record. NCBI's taxonomy places the organism in Eukaryota, Metazoa, Chordata, Actinopteri, Perciformes, Percidae.
GCUAGUUGCACCUAUUGUAGAUAUAUAGCUAGCUAGCUAGCUAGUUAGCUAGAUAGAUAGAUACUUUAUUGAUCCCCAAGGGGAAAUCAUUUGCUGCCUAUUUCAAUAAACGCCUUGAUUCAGCAUGGUGGAUAGCUGCUGUGCGCCGGGAUGCCAGAACCAUCGGAAAAAAGAUAAUGGGUAGCAUUUUAUAGGAUUCCUAGCUAAAGAUCCCGAGAGAAGAAGUGGCUAAAUGGAUUGCUUCCAUAAAACGUGCUAGAAGCAAACAGAACCAAACCGAGCGAUGGGAGCCCACAAACAAUGGAUUUCGGUUAUGCUGUGACCACUUCAUAUCAGGGGAAAAGAGUGACAACUCUCUGUCACCUGACUACGUUCCUUCAAUCUUCAAUCAUGUUCCAUCCCCGGAGAAGA